CACCGUCGAGCCUGUCGGGAUGCGAACACGCUCCAAAUCGAGCCAGCGCCUACCUCCUCCACCGACGCCGCACAAGGAGGUUUGCUGGGNNNNNNNNNNNNNNNNNNNNNNNNNNNNNNNNNNNNNNNNNNNNNNNNNNNNNNNNNNNNNNNNNNNNNNNNNNNNNNNNNNNNNNNNNNNNNNNNNNNNNNNNNNNNNNNNNNNNNNNNNNNAAGGAGGUUUGCUGGGCGGUACGUAUGUUGGAGACAACUUCAUCCAAUCUGUUGUUGUUGUAAGGCGCAUCAAGAAAGCUUCAUACUCCCUCCAAUCUUUCCGUAAUUCAUGUCGCGAGCGCACUACAUUUGUAGUCCUUCUACUUGCAAAGCUCCAGAAAUAAAGCCUUCCUUCCUUCCUUCCUCCUCCUGCCGCCCGCGUUGCCACGGCCACGGCCAGCCUCCGCAACCAACCGUCUCCAAGAGAAGGUCCUGUGCCGUGGACGAGUCCACCCACGAACAGGGCCUCCGCCGCCCCGCUGGUCCGCUUCGCCCCCGAUUCCGCUGCUCACGGCCGUCGGGCUGGUCACUGUGCUAGUCUACUUCAGCCGCCGGCUGGUUGUGGUGGGCGACGCCUCUGCUGCCGACGCUGCUGCUCGUGGGCGACGCCGACACCCUCCAAUCGGCUCCCCCGAUCCUCCGCCUCUGCCUCUGGCACUCUGCCUCUGGUACCUACAACUGAUACAGAGGGAAAUUAAUCCGUAGCUCCCUUGCUGUGAUCGUUUUGAUCAUCAGCGGAGCUCCAGUAGCAGCUCCCCUGUCGCGGUGGAGCACUGCCCAUGCACGUGACAGUGUUGCUGCUCCUAAGAAUAGAGUAAAAUUCAUUUAAAAAUUCAGGUUUCAGUUAAUCUGUACUCCAAACUGUUAAAAUUUACUGUUUUCAGCAAUGCAGCAUUGAGCCCGAACCUUUUUGGCAGUACAAGCAAUGCAGUUUUGGCAGUAAAAAUGGGGUGGAAUAGAACAUGACUAAACUUAAUGACAUCUUUUAACUGAAAUUCACUCAACUGUUACUGAACUAAAACAUGAACCUCAACAUAUGAAUUUCAUUCAGUUUUGUGUGUGCAUGAUUUAGUCAAGUUUAACACAAGACAAGUUUGCCUUGACAAACUUCAAUUUUAACACCACACAAGUUUGCUAUAAACUCAGUGUAAAAUGUUACACAUAAGACUGGCAUAUGGAAGAAUCGAGCUCUGUUAUGACAUGCCAAUACAGUACAAUUCUGAACAUUUAGUAAUUCUAGAGAGGAGCAAAGAAAAUAAAGACGCACAAUUUAGAGAGCAAAAAACUGAGCAUUUCAUGAGAAAAAAUGAAGAUUUCUGAAUAAACAUUUGUAAUGACAAGAUUUACUAGUGUACUCUGAACAAAGAAAAUAAGGAGGUUUGCUGGGCGGUAUGUAUGUUGGAGACAACUUCGUCCAACCUGUUGUUGUAAGGCGCAUCGAGAAAGUUUCAUAUUACUCUGAACAAAGUGUUGUCUAUUUCGACUUUCAGAUACAGUUAGCUGAUACGGGCGAACAAGACAAUAAGGAAAGACAAGUUGUGGCUGCCAAGAUGAGGACGAGGACAGAAAAUAAGGAAAGACAAGUUGUGGCCGCCAAGAUGAGGACGAGGACGCAGCCAUCCAGGAAAGGAAAGAGAGCUGCAUCAGGUCUUAUUCUAACUAGCCCCGAAAAGUUUAAAUCUUUCCUUUUUUUGACAGCAAAUAGACUUUAUUCCUCACAUAAUAGAUAGGAAGUGUCUAGUUUUCAUUCAUCUGUUUUUCAAUUUGGUUUAGGUCGUUUUUUUUGUCCACACAGUUCUUGGCAUGUGUCUUUGUACUAACUUGAGUGCAGACUGUAUAGCCGAAAAAGGGAUUGUUUUCAUUUCAGUUUCAGGUCGGAUUCUCCCUCCCCCUCUUCGACCUUCAAACACAUGUCCCCUAACGGGUCACUUGCAAACCCGUUACUAAUUCAUACCUUGACAUUUUGUGUGGACAUGGACUGAAUGGGAGUGACACUAGCUUUAAUAAAAAGUAACAAAAUAGGAGCCAAGUAAACAUGAUGCUGGCUGCAAACCAGACUCUCGCUUAGCUAUAUGUCCCUUUUAACUUUCCUCUCUUGUUCAAAAUUAGCCACAACAAUAAUAUAAUGGAGACCAAAAAACUGAUGACUGAAUGCUCACCCUGGAAAUGAACAAAAAAAGAUGCACAAAUGGUGCACUAUGUAUCCGUUGGUCAAUAUAGUAGAGUUUCAUACAGCUUUGAACUCAAUCUUGCCUUCGUCUUGAUAUAUUUCGGGAGCACAGCAGCCUCAAGCGCUGGUCCAUCCUGUACAAAACGGACCAAAACUCCCUCACUGAGAUUGUUCAACCUGAUGAAGUCCUCCCACCCAACACCACGGCUGCGGGUCCUCCAGUGUUCUUUCCUAAUCUCGACGAGGAAAUUCCGCCCCUCACAUUCCUCAAAAAGCAUGCAGUCGUCAGUGGCGCAAUUGAAUUCGACCCUUGUAUGACAUGGGAUAAACUGCAGAAAAGAGCAAAAAUAAAUGGAAAAGGAAGAGCAAAAUAUAGGUUAUCCUCAUGCUUGCUGGGGCAUGAGACAUUUGCAGAUUUAUUUAUUUUUUGAUAAGGAGGAAGCGAGCCCCCGGCCUCUGCAUCAAUCGAUGCAUGCAGCCAUAUUAUUAAAGAUAGAUAAAAUAGUAUCUUAGAUCCAAAUAGCUGAAAAAGCUGAAAAUGUAAAAGAAAGCACGAAAAAAGACACAUCCG
RNAcentral lists this long non-coding RNA (2773 nucleotides) under Hordeum vulgare. Its description in RNAcentral is "long non-coding RNA (HVUL_LNC016916)". Lineage: Eukaryota; Viridiplantae; Streptophyta; Magnoliopsida; Poales; Poaceae. The record is from RNAcentral.